AUAAAAGCUACGAAGGGCAUACGACGGAUGCCUUGGGACAAGAGGCCGAUGAAGGGCGCGUAAGCGGCGAAACGCCACGGGGAGCUGCACAAGAGUGUUGAUCCGUGGGUGCCCGAAUGGGGAAACCCGGCUGGAGUCAUGUCCAGUCAUCCCGAGCUGAAUACAUAGGCUCGUGGAAGGGAACCUGGUGAACUGAAACAUCUAAGUAACCAGAGGAAGAGAACUCGAAGAGAUUCCGUAAGUAGCGGCGAGCGAAAGCGGAUCAGCCUAAACCUAAGUGCUUGCAUUUAGGGGUUGUGGGACCGCGGAAUUCAACAAUAGACGAGUAGAACACAGCUGGAAAGCUGGACGACACAGGGUGACAGUCCCGUAAACGAAGUCGACGAUAGAUGGCGGUAUCCCGAGUAGCACGAAUCACGAGGAAUUUUGUGUGAAUCCGUCCGGACCACCGGAUAAGGCUAAAUACCUCUUGUCACCGAUAGCGCAUAGUACCGUGAGGGAAAGGUGAAAAGUACCCCGGGUAGGGGAGUGAAAUAGUUCCUGAAAUCGUAUUGCCUACAAUCAGUCAGAGCACUAUGCUCCGAGCAAUCGGAGAAUGUGUGAUGGCGUGCCUUUUGCAGAAUGAGCCUGCGAGUUGUUCGUCCCGGCAAGGUUAAGCGUUUUAGACGCGGAGCCGGAGGGAAACCGAGUCCGAAUAGGGCGUCUAGUCGGUACGAGCAGACCCGAAACUGCGUGAUCUAGCCAUGGCCAGGCUGAAGUGAUGGUAACACAUCAUGGAGGGCCGAACUCGUAGACGUUGAAAAGUCUUGGGAUGAGUUGUGGUUAGUCCGGUGAAAUGCCAAUCGAACGCAGAGAUAGCUGGUUCUCCCCGAAAUGCAUUUAGGUGCAGCGUUAUGUGUUCUCGUAUGGAGGUAGAGCACUGAAUGGGCUAGGGGCCCCACCAGGUUACCGAACCCAAUCAAACUCCGAAUACCAUACGAUAUAAACAUAGCAGUGAGACGGCGAGUGCUAAGAUCCGUCGUCAAAAGGAAAACAAUCCAGAUCAUCAGCUAAGGGCCGUAAAUCACGGCUAAGUGUAAAACGAUGUGAGAUCGCGUAAACAGCCAGGAGGUUGGCUUGGAGGCAGCCAUCCUUUAAAAAGUGCGUAACAGCUUACUGGCCGAAUGUGAUCUUGCGCGGACAAUUUAAGCGGGCUAAAGCCGUGUCCCGAAGCUAUGGGUGUCGCAAUUUAUUGCGGCGCGGUAGGGGAGCGUUCUGUUCAGCAGUGAAGAUAAAGCGUAAGCAUUGUUGGAGCGGACAGAAGUGAGAAUGCAGGCAUGAGUAGCGAUCACAAAGGUGAGAAUCCUUUGCGCCGAAAACCCAAGGUUUCCCCCGCCAUGCUCGUCAGAGGGGGGUUAGGCGAUAUCCUAAGGUGAGGCCGGAAGGCGUAAUCGAUGGACAGACGGUUGAUAUUCCGUCCCCGGAUAUGUUUGGUCAAGAGGGACGCUUCUAAAGGUUCUAUCCCACACCGUUGGUUGUUGUGGGCUCAAAAUCGGCAUGGCGCGGCGAAAACGCGCGGAAUUGCUGAUGAGAGGGAAGGGAUCGCUUCGGCGUGAACGAACUAGGACUGAUGGGGGCCGAGAAAAGCUCUGACGACUAUAUUCAUAUCCGUUCGUACCGUAAACCGACACAGGUAGGUGAGUCGAGAAGACUAAGGCGUUCGAGAGAACUCUCGUUAAGGAACUAGGCAAAUGGGCCCCGUAACUUAGGGAUAAGGGGCGCCCCCAGCAAUGGGGGCCGCAGCGAAGCACUCCAGGCGACUGUUUACCAAAAACACAGGUCUCUGCUAAGACGAAAGUCGAUGUAUAGGGGCUGACGCCUGCCCAAUGCUAGUAGGUUAAUCGGAGGUGUCAGGGCGCAAGCCCGAAGCACCGAAGUGAAGCCCUAGUGAAUGGCGGCCGUAACUCUAACGGUCCUAAGGUGGAAUACACUGCCUUAGUAAAAUUCAGCUAUAUGCUGGAACAUCUGAGAAUCCCAGGCUACUUGCAGCAAUGUAAGUGACAAUGCUUUGGGUGCAGACGAUCAGCAGGAAAGGCCGGCGUAAGCCGGAAUCCCCAGAGGCCAUACGCUGAACUCCGAUCUAAUCGGAGAAGAUAUGGUCCGAUCUGCACGGCGACGUGUAGGAAAGCGAUUCAGCUCUAAUAGGAUCGCUUCACUCGACCAAAAGUCGAGGAACAGAAUGAGCGAAAUUCCUUGUCGGCUAAAUACCGACCCGCAUGAAAGGCGUAACGACUUGGAGACUGUCUCAACGAGAAACUCGGUGAAAUUGUAGCACCCGCGAAGAUGCGGGUUCCGCGCAGUAGGACGGAAAGACCCCGUGGAGCUUUACUACACCUUAAGAUUGUAGUUUGGAUUAUCAUGUAGAGCGUAGGUGGGAGCUUCGGCACCAAUGGAACACCACCCUUGAUACUCUGAAUUACUAACCCUUGCCGUUAUCCGGUAAGGAGACCGUCUUAGGCGGGUAGUUUGACUGGGGCGGUCGCCUCCCAAAAUGUAACGGAGGCGUUCAAAGGUGCCCUCAGGCUGGUUGGAAAUCAGCCAUUGAGCGUAAUGGUAUAUAGGGCGCUUGACUGUGAGACUGACAAGUCGAGCAGGGACGAAAGUCGGACAUAGUGACCCUCUGGUGGUGCGUGGGCACGCCAGGGUUCAUCGGAUAAAAGCUACCCCGGGGAUAACAGGCUGAUCUUGCCCGAGCGCUCACAGCGACGGCAUGGUUUGGCACCUCGAUGUCGGCUCGUCGCAUCCUGGGGCUGUAUUAGGUCCCAAGGGUUCCGGAGUUCACGGAUUAAAGCGGCACGCGAGCUGGGUUCAGAACGGCGUGAGCCAGUUCGGUCCCUAUCCACUGCGCGCGCAGGAAAUUUGAGAGGAGUCGUUCCUAGUACGAGAGGACCGGAAUGAACUGACCUCUGGUGUACCAGUUGUUCCGCCAGGAGCAUACGCUGGGUAGCUACGUCGGGAAGGGAUAAGCGCUGAAAGCAUCUAAGCGCCAAGCCCACCUCAAGAUUAGAUUUCCCAUAGCAUAAGCUAGUAAGACCCCCGGAAGAGAACCGGGUCGAUAGGCCGCAAUUGUACGCACAGUAAUGUGUUUAGAUUAGCGGUACUAAUAGGUCGAGGGCUUUUAUCA
Molecule: ribosomal RNA, 3163 nt
Filed under: Armatimonadota bacterium
Lineage: Bacteria; Bacillati; Armatimonadota
Description: 23S ribosomal RNA
Rfam family: Bacterial large subunit ribosomal RNA
Source: RNAcentral